UGGGAAUAAGCAUCGGCUAACUCCGUGCCAGCAGCCGCGGUAAUACGGAGGAUGCGAGCGUUAUCCGGAUUUAUUGGGUUUAAAGGGUGCGUAGGCGGAUUAAUAAGUCAGUGGUGAAAACCUUCAGCUUAACUGGAGACUUGCCAUUGAUACUGUUAGUCUUGAGUACGGUCAAGGUAGGCGGAAUGUGUAAUGUAGCGGUGAAAUGCUUAGAUAUUAUACAGAACACCGAUUGCGAAGGCAGCUUACUGGGCCAUUACUGACGCUGAUGCACGAAAGCGUGGGGAGCGAACAGGAUUAGAUACCCUGGUAGUCCACGCCGUAAACGAUGAUCACUCG
This 339-nucleotide ribosomal RNA is filed under the name uncultured bacterium. RNAcentral describes it as "bacterial SSU rRNA". It matches the Rfam family "Bacterial small subunit ribosomal RNA", at positions 481 to 819 of the family's 1533-position model. The record is from RNAcentral.